UACGGAGGGUGCAAGCGUUAUCCGGAUUCACUGGGUUUAAAGGGUGCGUAGGCGGGCAGGUAAGUCAGUGGUGAAAUCUCCGGGCUUAACUCGGAAACUGCCGUUGAUACUAUAUGUCUUGAAUUAUCUGGAGGUGAGCGGAAUAUGUCAUGUAGCGGUGAAAUGCUUAGAUAUGACAUAGAACACCAAUUGCGAAGGCAGCUCACUACGGAUUGAUUGACACUGAGGCACGAAAGCGUGGGGAUCAAACAGG
This 253-nucleotide ribosomal RNA is filed under the name uncultured bacterium. RNAcentral's name for it is "partial 16S ribosomal RNA". It matches the Rfam family "Bacterial small subunit ribosomal RNA", at positions 524 to 776 of the family's 1533-position model. The record is from RNAcentral.